Molecule: ribosomal RNA, 429 nt
Filed under: uncultured bacterium
Lineage: Bacteria
Description: bacterial SSU rRNA
Rfam family: Bacterial small subunit ribosomal RNA
Source: RNAcentral
UGGGGAAUAUUGGACAAUGGGCGCAAGCCUGAUCCAGCAAUGCCGCGUGUGUGAAGAAGGCCUGCGGGUUGUAAAGCACUUUAAGCCGGAAAGAAGGGGUGAAAGCUAAUAUCUUUUGCCAUUGACGUUACCGGCAGAAUAAGCACCGGCUAACUCCGUGCCAGCAGCCGCGGUAAUACGGAGGGUGCGAGCGUUAAUCGGAAUUACUGGGCGUAAAGCGUGCGUAGGCGGUUCGAAUAGUCUGAUGUGAAAGCCCUGGGCUUAACCUGGGAACGGCAUUGGAAACUGUCGAGCUAGAGUGUGGGAGAGGGGUGUGGAAUUUCCGGUGUAGCAGUGAAAUGCGUAGAGAUCGGAAGGAACACCAGUGGCGAAGGCGGCGCCCUGGACCAACACUGACGCUGAGGUACGAAAGCGUGGGGAGCAAACAGG